Molecule: ribosomal RNA, 729 nt
Filed under: uncultured bacterium
Lineage: Bacteria
Description: bacterial SSU rRNA
Rfam family: Bacterial small subunit ribosomal RNA
Source: RNAcentral
AUGCCCUUCACUACGGAAUAGCCUCGGGAAACUGAGAGUAAUACCGUAUACGCCCUUUGGGGAAAGAUUUAUCGGUGAAGGAUUAGCCCGCGUCUGAUUAGAUAGUUGGUGGGGUAACGGCCUACCAAGUCGACGAUCAGUAGCUGGUUUGAGAGGAUGAUCAGCAACACUGGGACUGAGACACGGCCCAGACUCCUACGGGAGGCAGCAGUGGGGAAUCUUAGACAAUGGGCGCAAGUGAUCUAGCCAUGCCGCGUGAGUGACGAAGGCCUUAGGGUCGUAAAGCUCUUUCGCCAGGGAUGAUAAUGACAGUACCUGGUAAAGAAACCCCGGCUAACUCCGUGCCAGCAGCCGCGGUAAUACGGAGGGGGUUAGCGUUGUUCGGAAUUACUGGGCGUAAAGCGCGCGUAGGGGAUUGGAAAGUUGGGGGUGAAAUCCCGGGGCUCAACCCCGAACUGCCUCCAAAACUAUCAGUCUAGAGUUCGAGAGAGGUGAGUGGAAUUCCAAGUGUAGAGGUGAAAUUCGUAGAUAUUUGGAGGAACACCAGUGGCGAAGGGGCUCACUGGCUCGAUACUGACGCUGAGGUGCGAAAGUGUGGGGAGCAAACAGGAUUAGAUACCCUGGUAGUCCACACCGUAAACGAUGAAUGCCAGACGUCGGGGGGCUUGCCUUCGGUGUCACACCUAACGGAUUAAGCAUUCCGCCUGGGGAGUACGGUCGCAAGAUUAA